UUAUUUACUGUUCAGAAAUAGGUAAGCUUUUAUGUGGGUUUUUUGCAAACAGGUUGUAUUUUUUAAACAUAAAAUUAUUUUCCUUUAGGAGUAUCAAAAGAGACAUCAAUCAAACUGGAUAAUUUUGCUUUGACCAUUAAAUACUUGUGGCUGUGUGAGCUAGAUGUUCAUCGAGACACUGCUGAUCUGAUGGAGACAGAUAGAUACUAUGCUUGUAAUAAGGCCCAGGGAGCUGGGAAUUGAGACUGGUAUUUCUGCCUCUGGGUCAGCCAUGUGCAUCUCUGGAAAGUGUGAUAGGAUGGUUCAGCUUUUAGCUGGAUACUUGAAUGUCUGAAACAGCUUCGGGUACAAGAGCUCACUUACUGCACCUAUGAUUGAUUUGACCAGCACAAAUUUUUAAAAUAAAACUUCAGAUGGGAAAGGAAAUCCA
This 430-nucleotide long non-coding RNA is filed under the name Cyanistes caeruleus (blue tit). RNAcentral's name for it is "lncRNA (ENSCCEG00000011254.1)". The record is from RNAcentral. Lineage: Eukaryota; Metazoa; Chordata; Aves; Passeriformes; Paridae.